This 790-nucleotide ribosomal RNA is filed under the name uncultured Actinomycetes bacterium. RNAcentral's name for it is "bacterial SSU rRNA". It matches the Rfam family "Bacterial small subunit ribosomal RNA", at positions 75 to 878 of the family's 1533-position model. Lineage: Bacteria; Bacillati; Actinomycetota; Actinomycetes. The record is from RNAcentral.
CCUGCUUGCAGGGUACUCGAGUGGCGAACGGGUGAGUAACACGUGGGUGAUCUGCCCUGCACUUCGGGAUAAGCCUGGGAAACUGGGUCUAAUACCGGAUAGGAGCCAUUUUUAGUGUGAUGGUUGGAAAGUUUUUUCGGUGUAGGAUGAGCUCGCGGCCUAUCAGCUUGUUGGUGGGGUAAUGGCCUACCAAGGCGGCGACGGGUAGCCGGCCUGAGAGGGUGGACGGCCACAUUGGGACUGAGAUACGGCCCAGACUCCUACGGGAGGCAGCAGUGGGGAAUAUUGCACAAUGGGCGCAAGCCUGAUGCAGCGACGCCGCGUGGGGGAUGACGGCCUUCGGGUUGUAAACUCCUUUCGCUAGGGACGAAGCUUUUUGUGACGGUACCUAGAUAAGAAGCACCGGCUAACUACGUGCCAGCAGCCGCGGUAAUACGUAGGGUGCGAGCGUUGUCCGGAAUUACUGGGCGUAAAGGGCUCGUAGGUGGUUUGUCGCGUCGUCUGUGAAAUUCCGGGGCUUAACUCCGGGCGUGCAGGCGAUACGGGCAUAACUUGAGUACUGUAGGGGUAACUGGAAUUCCUGGUGUAGCGGUGAAAUGCGCAGAUAUCAGGAGGAACACCGAUGGCGAAGGCAGGUUACUGGGCAGUUACUGACGCUGAGGAGCGAAAGCAUGGGUAGCGAACAGGAUUAGAUACCCUGGUAGUCCAUGCCGUAAACGGUGGGCGCUAGGUGUGAGGGUCUUUUCACGACUUUCGUGCCGUAGCUACGCAUUAAGCGCCCCGCCUGGGG